UGAUUUUGUGGCAAUGUUGAUUGUGAUUGUCCUAUACAGUGAUUACUAUAGUUUGAAUUGAUGGAAAUCCAACACACAUCAACAUGCCCAACUAUACCCUAAUUUGGACGUACAUCUGCUCAGAGACUCAGAUCAAUAAUGGUUGUAUCCACCAUUGCUCUUUAUUAAAACUUUAUAUUUUCACCAAAUUAACAAAUCUUGGCUUGCCAUAUAAAUCCAGCUAGAUCAAGAUGCACGCUACAGCAUUCAAACCAGUUAAGGUCCCAAUAUUUGUAGCGUAGCAGCAUGCAUGGUUUUUUGGCCA
RNAcentral lists this long non-coding RNA (304 nucleotides) under Elaeis guineensis (African oil palm). Its description in RNAcentral is "long non-coding RNA (EGUI_LNC045590)". Lineage: Eukaryota; Viridiplantae; Streptophyta; Magnoliopsida; Arecales; Arecaceae. The record is from RNAcentral.